GUCUAUGGCCAUGCCACCCUGACUAUGCCAGAUCGCGUCUGAUCUCAGAAGCUAAGCAGAGUCAGGCCUGGUUAGUACUUGGAUGGGAGACCACCUAGGAAUACCAGGCACUGUAGGCG
This 119-nucleotide ribosomal RNA is filed under the name Pteropus alecto (black flying fox). Lineage: Eukaryota; Metazoa; Chordata; Mammalia; Chiroptera; Pteropodidae. The record is from RNAcentral.